GACGAACGCUGGCGGCGUGCUUAACACAUGCAAGUCGAACGGUGAAGCGCCUUCCUUUUUGGUGGGUGUGGAUGAGUGGCGAACGGGUGAGUAACACGUGAGUAACCUGCCCCCUUCUUCUGGAUAACCGCAUGAAAGUGUGGCUAAUACGGGAUAUUCUGGGUCUGUCGCAUGAUGGGUCUGGGAAAGAUAUUGUUUCGGUGGGGGAUGGGCUCGCGGCCUAUCAGCUUGUUGGUGGGGUGAUGGCCUACCAAGGCGGUGACGGGUAGCCGGCCUGAGAGGGUGGACGGCCACACUGGGACUGAGACACGGCCCAGACUCCUACGGGAGGCAGCAGUGGGGAAUAUUGCACAAUGGGCGAAAGCCUGAUGCAGCGACGCCGCGUGAGGGAUGGAGGCCUGCGGGUUGUGAACCUCUUUCGCCAGUGAAGCAGGCCUGCCUCGUUUGUGGGUGGGUUGACGGUAGCUGGAUAAGAAGCGCCGGCUAACUACGUG
Molecule: ribosomal RNA, 494 nt
Filed under: uncultured bacterium
Lineage: Bacteria
Description: partial 16S ribosomal RNA
Rfam family: Bacterial small subunit ribosomal RNA
Source: RNAcentral